Molecule: ribosomal RNA, 253 nt
Filed under: uncultured bacterium
Lineage: Bacteria
Description: partial 16S ribosomal RNA
Rfam family: Bacterial small subunit ribosomal RNA
Source: RNAcentral
UACGUAGGUGGCAAGCGUUGUCCGGAAUUAUUGGGCGUAAAGGGCGUGUAGGUGGAUUCUUAAGUCGUGUGUCUAAGUGCGGAGCUCAACUCCGUAUAGGCGCAGGAAACUGGGAAUCUUGAGUGCAGGAGAGGAAAGUGGAAUUCCCAGUGUAGCGGUGAAAUGCGUAGAUAUUGGGAGGAACACCAGUGGCGAAGGCGACUUUCUGGACUGUGUCUGACACUGAGGCGCGAAAGCUAGGGGAGCGAACGGG